AGUGAACGCUGGCGGUAGGCCUAACACAUGCAAGUCGAACGGCAGCACAGUAAGAGCUUGCUCUUACGGGUGGCGAGUGGCGGACGGGUGAGGAAUACAUCGGAAUCUACUUUUUCGUGGGGGAUAACGUAGGGAAACUUACGCUAAUACCGCAUACGACCUACGGGUGAAAGCAGGGGAUCUUCGGACCUUGCGCGAUUGAAUGAGCCGAUGUCGGAUUAGCUAGUUGGCGGGGUAAAGGCCCACCAAGGCGACGAUCCGUAGCUGGUCUGAGAGGAUGAUCAGCCACACUGGAACUGAGACACGGUCCAGACUCCUACGGGAGGCAGCAGUGGGGAAUAUUGGACAAUGGGCGCAAGCCUGAUCCAGCCAUAACGCGUGGGUGAAGAAGGCCUUCGGGUUGUAAAGCCCUUUUGUUGGGAAAGAAAAGCAGCAGGUUAAUACCCCGCUGUUCUGACGGUACCCAAAGAAUAAGCACCGGCUAACUUCGUG
This 492-nucleotide ribosomal RNA is filed under the name uncultured bacterium. RNAcentral's name for it is "partial 16S ribosomal RNA". It matches the Rfam family "Bacterial small subunit ribosomal RNA", at positions 29 to 507 of the family's 1533-position model. The record is from RNAcentral.